RNAcentral lists this ribosomal RNA (492 nucleotides) under uncultured bacterium. RNAcentral's name for it is "partial 16S ribosomal RNA". It matches the Rfam family "Bacterial small subunit ribosomal RNA", at positions 29 to 507 of the family's 1533-position model. The record is from RNAcentral.
AGUGAACGCUGGCGGUAGGCCUAACACAUGCAAGUCGAACGGCAGCACAGUAAGAGCUUGCUCUUACUGGUGGCGAGUGGCGGACGGGUGAGGAAUACAUCGGAAUCUACUUUUUCGUGGGUGAUAACGUAGGGAAACUUACGCUAAUACCGCAUACGACCUACGGGUGAAAGCAGGGGAUCUUCGGACCUUGCGCGAUUGAAUGAGCCGAUGUCGGAUUAGCUAGUUGGCUGGGUAAAGGCCCACCAAGGCGACGAUCCGUAGCUGGUCUGAGAGGAUGAUGAGCCACACUGGAACUGAGACACGGUCCAGACUCCUACGGGAGGCAGCAGUGGGGAAUAUUGGACAAUGGGCGCAAGCCUGAUCCAGCCAUACCGCGUGGGUGAAGAAGGCCUUCGGGUUGUAAAGACCUUUUGUUGGGAAAGAAAAGCAGCAGGUUAAUACCCCGCUGUUCUGACGGUACCCAAAGAAUAAGCACCGGCUAACUUCGUG